CCCUUAGAUGUUCUGGGCUGCACACGCGCUACACUGAAGGGAUCAGCGUGUUCUUUUCCUGGUCCGAAAGGAUCGGGUAACCCGCUGAACCCCCUUCGUGGUAGGGAUCGGAGCUUGCAAUUAUUCUCCGUGAACCAGGAAUUCCCAGUAAGCGCAAGUCAUAAGCUUGCGUUGAUUACGUCCCUGCCCUUUGUACACACCGCCCGUCGCUACUACCGAUUGGACGUUUUAGUGAGGAUUUUGGGCUGAGCCAAUGGUGGUUCACACCACUGUUGUGCAUGGAAAGAUCUCCAAACUUGAGCGUUUAGAGGAAGUAAAAGUCGUAACA
RNAcentral lists this ribosomal RNA (328 nucleotides) under uncultured eukaryote. RNAcentral's name for it is "partial 18S ribosomal RNA". It matches the Rfam family "Eukaryotic small subunit ribosomal RNA", at positions 1470 to 1796 of the family's 1831-position model. The record is from RNAcentral.